This is a long non-coding RNA of Saccostrea echinata, 1786 nucleotides long. RefSeq lists it as uncharacterized. Lineage: Eukaryota; Metazoa; Mollusca; Bivalvia; Ostreida; Ostreidae. The transcript has 5 exons. The record is from RefSeq and is a predicted model, not a curated record.
UGUUGAUUUGAGGACAAUAUUAUGAUAAAAGAUCUCUAGCUUUGUUGAAAGAUUGUAAAAUAGAUUCAGUUGAAUAUACAAGGUAUUUUAAAUGCAGCACAUAAGACAUUUCUGUCCGUGAAACGCUUCUUAUCGUUAACCAUCUUGAACCAUACAGCUGUUAUGGGACUUGGACAGUCUAAUUUCUGUAAACAUACCUACAUGUACAUGUAUGUGUCAAACACAGAAAUAUACUUGGUCUACACUGGAAAAGGAAAAAAGAACAUGUUGUCACCCAUACCUGAUAGGGGAGACGCUAUUAUGCAAACCCGUUAACCGAGAGGGUCAAGCUGAAUGAGGUUUUGCCUGUUGGAACUGGUAUAUGCAAAAGAUGUAUAGAAACACACUUUAAAAAAUCAGUAUGGAAGUAAAGCUGAAGGAAGAGCUUAAAGCAGAAAUGUGUUCCUAUUGACAAGGCAACAAUUGAAUCAAACCAAACAGAGCAAAGAGUGGAGGAAAAUGGAAGAAGUCAUGGACUUAACAGAAAACAUAUGACCUAAUACCUGCAGAUUUUGAAUUCAUAUCAUCAGUGCAUAUAAAUUGGUCAAAAGAUGAAAGAUCUCAGCAUAAAUUGUUCAAUCAUGCAAAGCAUAUCCUGUCAAAUGGAGAUUACCCUCCCUUAAAGUGUCAAGUAUCUCAGAAAUUGGACUAUUUGCAAUGCUGUUCAGGAAUAUUUUACAGUCAGUACAUUUAGCAAUAGGGCCUGUUGCACCAUGCCAAGGUACAGAGUUGAUGCUUCAAGCUGUCGACGGCAUUCCAAAGGAAAAGGAUGAAACUUUUUUUUAGCUUACCUGAGCCGAAGGCUCAAGUGAGCUUUUCUGAUCGAAAUAUGUCCAUUGUCUGUCGUCGUCGUUGUCGUGGUUGUAAACUUUUCACAUUUUCAUCUUCUUCUCAAGAACCACUGUGCCAAUUUCAACCAAACUUUCCACAAAGUAUCCUUGGGUAAAGGGAAUUCAAGUUUGUUCAAAUGAAGGGUCACACCUUCUUCCAAGGGGAGAUAAUCAUGAAUUUGUGAAAAAUUGAUGGCAUCACCUAAAAACUUGUCAAGAACCACUGUGCUUGAAAAUAUGAAACUUAUAUGGAAGCAUCCUCAGGUAGUGUAGAUCCAAGUUUGUUCAAAUCAUGACUUCCAGGGGUAGGGUGGGGCCACAAUGGGUGAUCAAAGUUUUACUUAGGAAUACAUAGGAAAAAGCCUUUAAAAAUCUUCUUCUCAGAAACAGCAAAGCCAUGAUUGAUCAUAUUUAAAAGGAAGCAUCCUCAAGUAGUGUAGGUUCAAAUUUGUUCCAAUCAUGACCCCCGUGAGUAGGGUGGGGCCAGAAUGGUUGAUCAAAGUUUUGCAUAUAAUACAUGUACAUAGGAAAAAUUUGUAAAAAUCUUCUUCUCAAGAACAGCAAAGCCAUGAUUGGUCAUUUUUAUAUGGGUGCAUCCUCAGGUAGUGAAGAUUCAAGUUUGUUCCAGUCAUGACCCCCCCUCCCCCCAGGGGUAGGGUGGGGCCACAAUGGGUGAUCAAAGUUUUACAUAGGAAUACAUAGGAAAAAGCCUUUUAAAAUCUUCUUCUCAAGAACAGCAAAGCCAUAAUUAGUCAUAUUUAAAUGGAAGCAUCCUCAGGUAAUGUAGACUCAAAUUUUGUUCAAAUCAUGACCCCCCCCCCCCCCCCAAGAGAAUAGGGGGGCCAUAACAGGGGAUCAAAGUUAUACAAAGGAAUACAAAUGUUAUAUCAAUAAAAAUUGUCUUGUUAAGAACAGCA